Molecule: non-coding RNA, 91 nt
Organism: Mycena leptocephala
Lineage: Eukaryota; Fungi; Basidiomycota; Agaricomycetes; Agaricales; Mycenaceae
Source: the annotation of a GenBank genome assembly
GCGGACGUGGUGCACGGUGCACUCCUUCAUUUCAUAGAGCGAUCAGACACAAUUGUUGAAGGCUGUCGGGGUUCGACUCCCCGCGUCCGCA